Molecule: transfer RNA, 76 nt
Filed under: Bacillus velezensis
Lineage: Bacteria; Bacillati; Bacillota; Bacilli; Caryophanales; Bacillaceae
Description: tRNA-Gly
Rfam family: tRNA
About the family: Transfer RNA (tRNA) molecules are approximately 80 nucleotides in length.
Source: RNAcentral
GCGAAGUGUUCAGUGGGGUAGAACAAUCACCUUGCCAAGGUGGGGGUCGCGGGUUCGAAUCCCGUCUUCCGCUCCA